ACUCUGUAUUUCAUGAUGAACUCUAUGUGCUUUACUGGACAGAAGCAAGAUGUGACUCAUUGCUCUGAGAUGUCAAUCUUCAUCAGCCUUACUAUUUUUGAGGCCUUCUCCUAUUUUGUGCAUGACUGCUAGCAAGUGUGGAUUUACAGACUUCAGAAAUACAGAACAGUACUGGCAACUACACAAUGUUGUUGCAACAGUUGGUGGUCUUGAAGAAGAGGAAGGUUGCAAUAAGCAUGCACUACUCUUGCAAGAAAUCUGGAACAAAACAUUUGUACCUGUACACUGUAUGCCGCUCUGGGAAAGUGCUUUUUCCUGGCUCCUGAAUAGCUACCGAGGCUUCAGACAGACAGUCUUUACAAAGGUUCUCACGUUGCAAAUUUCCUCCUGUACUUGAGCUUUUUACUGCAAGGAAUUAAUGAACAGGAAGAAAACCCUCCCUUGGCUUUUACUUUCUAAUCAGAAUUUGCAGCAGUAGCUGUCAGAAAUAGCAUUUUAUUUAUAAACAGGUAAGGUUUGAGAUAGCUACCAAGGUGCAAACAUAGAGCAUUCCAAAGCCACCUCAUAAUCCCUUCCCAGAGUCAAACUGCACUUUAAAACAGUACUUUAAAAAGUAUGAACUGUCUUAAACCACCAAAUGACCUGGCACUUCAAAUAAAUAUUUCCAAAAACCAUCAUAAAGAUGAUCGAUUGUUUCUACAGAAGUUUAGCCAUUAGCUUUCCACCAUCACACAGCUUUAAAUUAAAGAUGGAAAGGGUGAUACAGCUUCCCUGAUAGUUCUCAGUAAGGGAAGCACCGUAGAACCUUCAAGGCCCCAACCAAAACCAGGGACUCCUGC
Aptenodytes forsteri (emperor penguin) is the source of this 839-nucleotide long non-coding RNA. RefSeq lists it as uncharacterized. Lineage: Eukaryota; Metazoa; Chordata; Aves; Sphenisciformes; Spheniscidae. The transcript has 3 exons. The record is from RefSeq and is a predicted model, not a curated record.